AGCUGUGCUCCUUUGAGCGCCGUGGCGCGGGCACGCGGAUAGCUCGUGUGCCUCAGGCACGGCAGGCUGGCGGGCGCAGGAAGGAAGAAAAAAGCAGCUGCCCACCAGUGCGUUGGGCUGAGUGGAACAGGGACGGGUGUUAUCCUGGCACACCUUCACAAAGCCUCAGCCUACCAAAAGGGACAACUGUAAACAAUCUGACUGCAAGACUGAUAACCACACCUCCACCCCAGAGCAGGUGUCUGCACCCCUGAUGCAUCUUAAAAAAAACAGUUCCAUAGAUGACAAUUUACUACAUGGAGUAAAAGAACGUGACCAUAAACAUUUGCAAAUCAGAACAAUUGUGGAUUGUAUGAUAUACAAAUUGGAGUCCAACAGAAAGCAGGCCGCUUACUUCAGUCUUCUCUUUAGAUUUAAUGGCAAACUUUUCCACAGAAGAGAUGAGUAGCGUUAAAGAACUGGACGGUGACUGGAAUCACACAUCUUGAAUGAUAUCAGUAAGUGAAGAUUAACCAUCAGAUCAGGUCAACAAUCAUUUGUGACUAACUUUCUUAGUAAGAGUA
Long non-coding RNA from Polypterus senegalus (gray bichir), 563 nucleotides. RefSeq lists it as uncharacterized. The record is from RefSeq and is a predicted model, not a curated record. Lineage: Eukaryota; Metazoa; Chordata; Cladistia; Polypteriformes; Polypteridae. The transcript has 3 exons.